Molecule: ribosomal RNA, 276 nt
Filed under: uncultured bacterium
Lineage: Bacteria
Description: partial 16S ribosomal RNA
Rfam family: Bacterial small subunit ribosomal RNA
Source: RNAcentral
CAAACUGAAGAUGGCGACCGGCGCACGGGUGAGUAACACGUAUCCAACCUGCCGAUAACCCUGGAAUAGCCUUUCGAAAGAAAGAUUAAUACCGGAUAGUAUACGAAUAUCGCAUGAUAUUUUUAUUAAAGAAUUUCGGUUAUCGAUGGGGAUGCGUUCCAUUAGUUUGUUGGCGGGGUAACGGCCCACCAAGACUACGAUGGAUAGGGGUUCUGAGAGGAAGGUCCCCCACAUUGGAACUGAGACACGGUCCAAACUCCUACGGGAGGCAGCAUG